Molecule: ribosomal RNA, 538 nt
Filed under: Streptomyces microflavus
Lineage: Bacteria; Bacillati; Actinomycetota; Actinomycetes; Kitasatosporales; Streptomycetaceae
Description: bacterial SSU rRNA
Rfam family: Bacterial small subunit ribosomal RNA
Source: RNAcentral
UUGGGGGGCCUACGGGAGGCAGCAGUGGGGAAUAUUGCACAAUGGGCGAAAGCCUGAUGCAGCGACGCCGCGUGAGGGAUGACGGCCUUCGGGUUGUAAACCUCUUUCAGCAGGGAAGAAGCGAAAGUGACGGUACCUGCAGAAGAAGCGCCGGCUAACUACGUGCCAGCAGCCGCGGUAAUACGUAGGGCGCAAGCGUUGUCCGGAAUUAUUGGGCGUAAAGAGCUCGUAGGCGGCUUGUCACGUCGGUUGUGAAAGCCCGGGGCUUAACCCCGGGUCUGCAGUCGAUACGGGCAGGCUAGAGUUCGGUAGGGGAGAUCGGAAUUCCUGGUGUAGCGGUGAAAUGCGCAGAUAUCAGGAGGAACACCGGUGGCGAAGGCGGAUCUCUGGGCCGAUACUGACGCUGAGGAGCGAAAGCGUGGGGAGCGAACAGGAUUAGAUACCCUGGUAGUCCACGCCGUAAACGGUGGGCACUAGGUGUGGGCAACAUUCCACGUUGUCCGUGCCGCAGCUAACGCAUUAAGUGCCCCUGCCUGGC